UACGGAGGGGGCUAGCGUUGUUCGGAAUUACUGGGCGUAAAGCGCACGUAGGCGGCUUUGCAAGUUAGAGGUGAAAGCCCGGGGCUCAACUCCGGAAUUGCCUUUAAAACUGCAUCGCUAGAAUUGUGGAGAGGUAAGUGGAAUUCCGAGUGUAGAGGUGAAAUUCGUAGAUAUUCGGAAGAACACCAGUGGCGAAGGCGGCUCGCUGGACCGGUUCUGACGCUGAUGCGCGAAAGCGUGGGGAGCAAACGGG
This 253-nucleotide ribosomal RNA is filed under the name uncultured bacterium. RNAcentral's name for it is "partial 16S ribosomal RNA". It matches the Rfam family "Bacterial small subunit ribosomal RNA", at positions 524 to 776 of the family's 1533-position model. The record is from RNAcentral.